UACAGAGGGUGCGAGCGUUAAUCGGAAUUACUGGGCGUAAAGCGUGCGCAGGCGGCUUUGCAAGACAGAUGUGAAAUCCCCGGGCUCAACCUGGGAAUGGCAUUUGGGACUGCAAGGCUUGAGUGCGGCAGAGGAGACUGGAAUUCCUGGUGUAGCAGUGAAAUGCGUAGAUAUCAGGAGGAAUACCGAUGGCGAAGGCAGGUCUCUGGGCUGACACUGACGCUCAUGCACGAAAGCGUGGGGAGCAAACAGG
RNAcentral lists this ribosomal RNA (253 nucleotides) under uncultured bacterium. RNAcentral's name for it is "partial 16S ribosomal RNA". It matches the Rfam family "Bacterial small subunit ribosomal RNA", at positions 524 to 776 of the family's 1533-position model. The record is from RNAcentral.